RNAcentral lists this ribosomal RNA (253 nucleotides) under uncultured bacterium. RNAcentral's name for it is "partial 16S ribosomal RNA". It matches the Rfam family "Bacterial small subunit ribosomal RNA", at positions 524 to 776 of the family's 1533-position model. The record is from RNAcentral.
UACGGAGGGUGCGAGCGUUGUCCGGAAUCAUUGGGCGUAAAGAGCUCGUAGGUGGCCUGUCGCGUCGGCUGUGAAAACUCGGGGCUCAACUCCGAGCUUGCAGUCGAUACGGGCAGGCUAGAGUUCGGCAGGGGAGACUGGAAUUCCUGGUGUAGCGGUGAAAUGCGCAGAUAUCAGGAGGAACACCGGUGGCGAAGGCGGGUCUCUGGGCCGAUACUGACACUGAGGAGCGAAAGCGUGGGGAGCGAACAGG